UGCUUCCCAUCAGCUUGAUGGUAGUGUAUUGGACAACCAUGGCAUUCACGGGCUAUCGGGGGAUUAGGGUUCGAUUCCGGAGAGGGAGCCUGAUAAACGGCUACCACUUCUACGGAAGGCAGCAGGCGCGAAAAUUAUCCAAUCCUGACUCAGGGAGGUAGUGAAAGAAAUAAUGAACUAGGAUUUAUCCUGGGAUCACAAUGGGCUUGAUUUGCAAACUUUACAUUUAGCGAGGAACAAUUGGAGGGCAAGUCUGGUGCCAGCAGCCGCGGUAAUUCCAGCUCCAAUAGAGUAUAUAAAUAUUCCUGCAGUUAUUCGAUGCUCGUAGUUGGAUUUCUGAAGUUGAGGCGGGAGGGUGGCUAUGGUCAUCGCCCAUCUCUUCCUUCAUCCACCUGUUAGCGAAUCCCGGGAUUGAUUUCUCGGUUUCGGGCUCAGGUAUCUUACCAUUUUCUAUAUUUGCAAUCUUCAUCGAUUAUGCAUUAUUUUUUUUCUUUGAGCAAAUUAUAGUGUUUCAGGCAGGCGUGCGCCGGAAUACAUUAGCAUGGUAUAAACGAAUUGGACCGUGUAUUCAUUAUUUGAAUUUUCCUUAUUUGUUGGUUUGAAGGACACGGAGAUGGUUAAUAGGGACAGAAUUUAUUUCAGGGGGAGGCAUUAGUAUUUAAUUUCCAGAGGUGAAAUUCUUUGAAAUAUUAAAGACUAACUUAUGCGAAAGCAUUUAUUUGCCAAUGAUGUUUUCAUUAAUCAUUGAACGAAAGUUAGGGGAUCAAAGACGAUCAGAUACCGUCCUAGUCUUAACCAUAAACGUUGCCGACUAGGGAUCGGAGGGCGUGCACAUUCCGCCUUCGGCACCUUACGAGAAAUCAAAGUCUUUUGGGUUCUGUGGGUAGUAUGGUCGCAAGGCUGAAACUUAAAGGAAUUGACGGAAGGGCACCACCAGGAGUGGAGCUUGCGGCUCAAUUUGACUCAACACGGGAAAUCUUACCAGGUCCAGACAUAGCGAGGAU
Molecule: ribosomal RNA, 1004 nt
Filed under: Euplotes sp. 1 cLPN1
Lineage: Eukaryota; Ciliophora; Spirotrichea; Euplotida; Euplotidae
Description: SSU rRNA
Rfam family: Eukaryotic small subunit ribosomal RNA
Source: RNAcentral